This 24-nucleotide non-coding RNA is filed under the name Arabidopsis thaliana (thale cress). The record is from RNAcentral. Lineage: Eukaryota; Viridiplantae; Streptophyta; Magnoliopsida; Brassicales; Brassicaceae.
UGGCUCAGAUACUCCCAUUCCGGG